ACAGUUUUGAUGUCGCAGAUACUGCAUCAGGAACUGAUUGGAUAAGAAUCAGUCACCAUCAGUUCCUCAUGCAUUGCCUUCAGCAUCUAAACA
Molecule: microRNA precursor, 93 nt
Filed under: Otolemur garnettii (small-eared galago)
Lineage: Eukaryota; Metazoa; Chordata; Mammalia; Primates; Galagidae
Description: mir-217 microRNA precursor family
Rfam family: mir-217 microRNA precursor family
Source: Rfam by way of RNAcentral